GGGGAAUUUUGGACAAUGGGGGCAACCCUGAUCCAGCCAUUCCGCGUGAGUGAAGAAGGCCUUCGGGUUGUAAAGCUCUUUCGGCAGGAACGAAACGGUGAGCGCUAAUAUCGCUUGCUAAUGACGGUACCUGAAGAAGAAGCACCGGCUAACUACGUGCCAGCAGCCGCGGUAAUACGUAGGGUGCGAGCGUUAAUCGGAAUUACUGGGCGUAAAGCGUGCGCAGGCGGUUGUGUAAGACAGGUGUGAAAUCCCCGGGCUUAACCUGGGAACUGCGCUUGUGACUGCACAGCUAGAGUAUGGCAGAGGGGGGUGGAAUUCCACGUGUAGCAGUGAAAUGCGUAGAGAUGUGGAGGAACACCGAUGGCGAAGGCAGCCCACUGGGCCAAUACUGACGCUCAUGCACGAAAGCGUGGGGAGCAAAC
RNAcentral lists this ribosomal RNA (425 nucleotides) under uncultured bacterium. Its description in RNAcentral is "bacterial SSU rRNA". It matches the Rfam family "Bacterial small subunit ribosomal RNA", at positions 356 to 773 of the family's 1533-position model. The record is from RNAcentral.